Molecule: ribosomal RNA, 291 nt
Filed under: uncultured prokaryote
Description: partial 16S ribosomal RNA
Rfam family: Bacterial small subunit ribosomal RNA
Source: RNAcentral
GUGUCAGCAGCCGCGGUAAUACGAAGGGGGCGAGCGUUGUUCGGAAUUACUGGGCGUAAAGGGCGCGUAGGCGGCCCGAUCAGUCAGAUGUGAAAGCCCCGGGCUCAACCUGGGAACUGCAUUUGAUACUGUCGGGCUUGAGUUCCGGAGAGGAUGGUGGAAUUCCCAGUGUAGAGGUGAAAUUCGUAGAUAUUGGGAAGAACACCGGUGGCGAAGGCGGCCAUCUGGACGGACACUGACGCUGAGGCGCGAAAGCGUGGGUAGCAAACAGGAUUAGAUACCCUCGUAGUC